RNAcentral lists this ribosomal RNA (229 nucleotides) under uncultured bacterium. RNAcentral describes it as "partial 16S ribosomal RNA". It matches the Rfam family "Bacterial small subunit ribosomal RNA", at positions 568 to 796 of the family's 1533-position model. The record is from RNAcentral.
UCCGUAGGUGGAUAAUUAAGUCAGAGGUGAAAUCCUGCAGCUCAACUGUAGAAUUGCCUUUGAUACUGGUUAUCUUGAGUUAUUAUGAAGUAGUUAGAAUAUGUAAUGUAGCGGUGAAAUGCAUAGAUAUUACAUAGAAUACCAAUUGCGAAGGCAGAUUACUAAUAAUGUACUGACACUGAUGGACGAAAGCGUGGGGAGCGAACAGGAUUAGAUACCCUGGUAGUCC